CCUACGGGAGGCAGCAGUGAGGAAUAUUGGACAAUGGGCGCAAGCCUGAUCCAGCCAUGCCGCGUGCAGGAAGAAGCAUCUAUGGUGUGUAAACUGCUUUUGUACAGGAAGAAACACUCCCUCGUGAGGGAGCUUGACGGUACUGUAAGAAUAAGGACCGGCUAACUCCGUGCCAGCAGCCGCGGUAAUACGGAGGGUCCGAGCGUUAUCCGGAAUCAUUGGGUUUAAAGGGUCCGUAGGCGGUUUAAUAAGUCAGUGGUGAAAUCUGGUCGCUCAACGAUCAAACGGCCAUUGAUACUGUUAGACUUGAAUUAUAAGGAAGUAACUAGAAUAUGUAGUGUAGCGGUGAAAUGCUUAGAUAUUACAUGGAAUACCAAUUGCGAAGGCAGGUUACUACUUAUGGAUUGACGCUGAUGGACGAAAGCGUGGGGAGCGAACAGGAUUAGAUACCCUGGUAGUCCACGCCGUAAACGAUGGAUACUAGCUGUUCGGAGCAAUCUGAGUGGCUAAGCGAAAGUGAUAAGUAUCCCACCUGGGGAGUACGUUCGCAAGAAUGAAACUUAAAUGAAUUGACGGCUGAGUAGCGACGAGACACAGGAGGAGAGG
Molecule: ribosomal RNA, 606 nt
Filed under: uncultured bacterium
Lineage: Bacteria
Description: bacterial SSU rRNA
Rfam family: Bacterial small subunit ribosomal RNA
Source: RNAcentral